This is a long non-coding RNA of Sarcophilus harrisii (Tasmanian devil), 2187 nucleotides long. The record is from Ensembl. Lineage: Eukaryota; Metazoa; Chordata; Mammalia; Dasyuromorphia; Dasyuridae.
UUAGAAACAAAAUAGAAUCCUUGUAAAUUCAACAGAACUAUCCCCAAAUGAACAAUUCUAUACCAAAGUUCUGUGUAAAUUCCAAUCAUUUCCAAUCCCCACAGAGGCAGGUUCAAUAGUUCCCCUGUAGAGGAUCUUUAGAGGGCUAUUCUCUGUUAAUGGCUCAUUACCCUUUGCCACUGGAAUUGUGACUCCAGUGGUAUAACUCCCUCUUAGGUUCCCAAGUACUUUCAGAAGCUGUUAGCUGGCUUUGCUCUCCCUUGUGGCUCAUCUACGGUUGCCCCCAACAAGGGAACUCAGGAAGUAGAAAGUCAUCCCUCAGCACAAUGAAUACCAAUGGUGAAGAAAACUCAUCCAGUAUUACAGAAAUAGAAGAUAAAAAAGAGACAACAGAAUCAGUAAACUCAGAAGAUAAUGCAGAUGGCACACAGAAUGUGCUGGCUAAGGAAAGUUCAUUGUUUUGUCCGCUCUCAAAAUUGUUUCUUUCUGCUGACGCUUUGAUAAAGGAAAAUGAAAAAUCCCAUAACUUAAAAAAGCAUGAGAUUUCCAUUACAGAAGCAAAGAACUAUCUUCUUCGAGUCUUAAACAUCAUAUCACUAGAAACACUGGGUCAAGAAGAACCACUAGAGCCUACUCAGCCUGUUGUCUUAAAGAGCAAGAGUACUAUUUGUGACCCAAUAGGAAUGAUGAAAAUCCUACGCCAUAACUUAUUAUCAGCACCCACAUCAAGUGACAAGAGUGAAAAGAGCCCAAUGCCCCUCAAAGCAUUUGCCCCCCUUGACAAAUUCCCCUCUCCAAUGCACAUUUUUCCUUAUGAGUUGCUUGCCCAACAUUGUCUUCCUUUCUUGGUACCUUUCAUAGUAAGAGAUGAUAUUAGGAAGAAGAAGAUUUUGUGCAGGAUAGUCCUUUUCAAUAUUGUCCCUCCCAAAGGAAAAGUCUUCAGACCACAAGGAAAAAGACAAAAACAUUUUGAAAAAUUGCGCCAUCCAGAAAAACAAUUUAUGGAUCUGAAAGACCUCCAGCGGAAAUAUUAUAAGGGCUUGUUGAAAUGGAAAAAGAAACCCCUGCCUACGUUCAAGGAAAUAAUUCCUAUUAUUGAAAAGACAUAUGUACCUGAAAUGCUCUCGAUGGAUUAUAAAGUCAAUCAGAAGUAAUAAUCCAAAUGUACCAUAAAAAGUGGGUUGUUUGUGUUAAGUAAAACCUUCCAUUAAAUAAAAUGGUGCACAUCUGUGAUUGAUUUUGAGAUGAUUGAAAUUAAAUAGAUAACGAAGUAAAUCUUUCUGUCUUAGGAAGCCCACAAUCUCUAAAGUGAGAAUAGUAACUCUUCACUGAAUUUCACUAGUUUGGGACUAGAGUCAGGAAAAUAUCUUUGUUUUCCCCUAGUAAAUUUACUUUUAAUACAAAUUGCUUUGUGAAUCAUGUUGGGAGAGAAAAACCAAAGCAAAAGGGGAAAACUAUGGGAGAGAUUAAAAAAAAAAAAAAAAAAAGAAAAAAAAGAAGUGAACAUAAUAUGAGAUGAUUUACAUUUAGUCUCCUUAGUUCUUUUUCUGGACAUAGAUGGCAUUUUCUGUCCAGAGUUGCUACAGAUUGCUACAGAUCACUGAACUACUUAGAAGAACCAAGUCUUUUAUAGUUGAUCAUCUCACAUUCUUGCUGUUAUUGUGUACAAUGUAUUCCUGGUCCAGACAUUUCUAAAAUCAAUUUAUUCAUUAUUUUUAUAGAACAAUGAUAUUCCAUUACCUUCACAUACUACAACUUGUCCAGCCAUUCCCCAAUUGAUGGGCAUCUAUUCAUUUUCCAAUUCUUUGUUAUGGAAAAAAAAGAACUGCUACAAACAUUUUUGCACAUGUGGAUCCUUUUCCCUCCUUUAAGAUUUCCUUGGGAUACAGACCCAGUAAUGGCACUGCUGGGUCAAAGGGCAUGAACAGUUUUAUAGCCCUUUGGGGCAUAGUUACAAAUUGCUCUCCAGAAUGGAUGGAUCAUUUCACAACUCCACCAACAAUGCAUCAGUGUCCCAGUUUUCCCACAUCCCCUCCAACAUUUAUUAUCUUAAGGAGAUACUUGAGUUUAAAUUUGGCCUCAGACACUAGUUGUGUGACUCUGGGCAAGUCACUUAACCCUAUUUGACCAAGUUUCUUUAUGUAAAAAAAUCAUAAUAACCCUUAUCUCUCAAGGUUGAUGUGAGGA